Pristionchus pacificus is the source of this 63-nucleotide non-coding RNA. Lineage: Eukaryota; Metazoa; Nematoda; Chromadorea; Rhabditida; Neodiplogasteridae. The record is from Rfam.
UCUUCAUUUCACGCACUCUCUCAUCGGUCAGAGUGACGUGAGAGAGUGUGCAAAAUGAAGAGA